AGUGAACGCUGGCGGUAGGCCUAACACAUGCAAGUCGAACGGCAGCACAGUAAGAGCUUGCUCUUACGGGUGGCGAGUGGCGGACGGGUGAGGAAUACAUCGGAAUCUACUUUUUCGUGGGGGAUAACGUAGGGAAACUUACGCUAAUACCGCAUACGACCUACGGGUGAAAGCAGGGGAUCUUCGGACUUUGCGCGAUUGAAUGAGCCGAUGUCGGAUUAGCUAGUUGGCGGGGUAAAGGCCCACCAAGGCGACGAUCCGUAGCUGGUCUGAGAGGAUGAUCAGCCACACUGGAACUGAGACACGGUCCAGACUCCUACGGGAGGCAGCAGUGGGGAAUAUUGGACAAUGGGCGCAAGCCUGAUCCAGCCAUACCGCGUGGGUGAAGAAGGCCUUCGGGUUGUAAAGCCCUUUUGUUGGGAAAGAAAAGCAGCAGGUUAAUACCCCGCUGUUCUGACGGUACCCAAAGAAUAAGCACCGGCUAACUUCG
RNAcentral lists this ribosomal RNA (490 nucleotides) under uncultured bacterium. RNAcentral's name for it is "partial 16S ribosomal RNA". It matches the Rfam family "Bacterial small subunit ribosomal RNA", at positions 29 to 505 of the family's 1533-position model. The record is from RNAcentral.